This 775-nucleotide ribosomal RNA is filed under the name uncultured Neocallimastigales. RNAcentral's name for it is "partial large subunit ribosomal RNA". It matches the Rfam family "Eukaryotic large subunit ribosomal RNA", at positions 24 to 644 of the family's 3401-position model. The record is from RNAcentral. Lineage: Eukaryota; Fungi; Neocallimastigomycota; Neocallimastigomycetes; Neocallimastigales.
GUAGUCUCGCACAGAUGCAUAUCAAUAAGCGGAGGAAAAGAAACUAACAAGGAUUCCCCUAGUAACGGCGAGUGAAGCGGGAAGAGCUCAAAUUUGAAAUCUUAAAGGGUUUCCCUUUACGAAUUGUAGUUUAAAGAAGUGUUUUCUGUUGAGGUUUUGGUAAAAGUUCUUUGGAAUAGGACAUCAUAGAGGGUGAGAAUCCCGUAUUUGACCUUUACUUUCAACUUUGUGAUACACUUUCAAAGAGUCGGAUUGUUUGGGAAUGCAGUCCAAAAUGGGUGGUAAAUUUCAUCUAAAGCUAAAUAUUGGCGAGAGACCGAUAGCGAACAAGUACUGUGAGGGAAAGAUGAAAAGAACUUUGAAAAGAGAGUUAAACAGUACGUGAAAUUGUCAAAAGGGAAGCGUUUGACACCAGUGUUGUUUUUCUGAAAAUCAAUUAAAGAACUGUUUAUGCUAAGCUGUUUAGACUUUAUCAGCUAACUGUUUAGUUUUGAGCUUUUCUUUAAUGCACUUUUCAGUUAACAAGUCAACAUCAAUUUCUUUUGCUGUAAAAAAGCUUGAGGAAGGUGGCUUGAGAUUCGUCUUAAGUGUUUAUAGCCUCUUGCCUAUGCAGUCGGAGAGAUUGAGGUCAUGCAGCGUAGAUCCUUCGGGGCUAAAUGCAUUUGUGCUAAGUUAUAGCAUUUUAUAGACAACUUGUUGACUAUGAUUUGUCUUGUAGCUUACUCGCUUAUGUUAUUUUACCUACGCUUAGGAUGUUGAACUACUGAGACAUAGA